This 240-nucleotide non-coding RNA is filed under the name Klosneuvirus KNV1. The record is from RNAcentral. Lineage: Varidnaviria; Bamfordvirae; Nucleocytoviricota; Megaviricetes; Imitervirales; Mimiviridae.
CUUUAUAUUACUAUAAAGGGCUAGACUAUAUCUUAAUUUCUAUUAAAGAAACCACUACCAUAUAGUCGUUGAACUCAUCACAAUGUAAUGUGGUUGGCUGCUGAUUUUUCAUAUAAAUUCAUAUUUUAACUAUUUAAGAGUAAUGAAUUAGCAGAAAUUUCCAGCAAUUUGGUAAUGUCGCCAAUGUAAUUAUUGACUAACAUAAAGAUGUUCUUUAGCUCUAAUUUUUAAAGCCACCGA